RNAcentral lists this non-coding RNA (563 nucleotides) under Pan troglodytes (chimpanzee). Lineage: Eukaryota; Metazoa; Chordata; Mammalia; Primates; Hominidae. The record is from RNAcentral.
CGCGGCGGGACCCGGAGCCUGGAGUUCGGGUGGGUAACCCGAGCUCUCCAAGCUCUUGAAGCCGCGAGGGUGGCUUAGCUUCGGUGUUUUGGCUGAGAACACCCUUAAAGCUUAAAAUAAAACCUGCCUCUGGGGUGCAGGGGAGGAGAGAGGAGGACGCGAAUCACACCCGCUGCUGCCCCCCAGCCCGCCCCGUCUGUACAAUGGGAUGCUCGGGACUCGGACGGGAGGAUCCAGUGACUGCGAGCCCCGCAUUCGCCCGAUCCCAGCCUCACACCCCCAGCCAGCCCCCAGAGACCCUCCCACACUUACGAAGGAAAUGCAUGCGGCCAGGAGGAGAAUCCGCACCAGGAGGUCUUCAAACUGCUCUAUCACCAGCUCCCACAGGGUCUUCCCUGGGGGAGGAGCAGGGAGCUCUACCCAGGAAAAAGAAGAAAAGGACAGAUUCAUUUGGGGUUCAGCCUCAUGCCCCCCACACCCAAGACUUUGUGGCUAAGAUAAGAGAAUCAGGCCACCUUGAGGUUCAUCAAGGUCAUCCCAUUAAAACCUCCCAAAACUCUGGA